RNAcentral lists this non-coding RNA (23 nucleotides) under Arabidopsis thaliana (thale cress). Lineage: Eukaryota; Viridiplantae; Streptophyta; Magnoliopsida; Brassicales; Brassicaceae. The record is from RNAcentral.
GGGAAGUUCUAGGUUUUCUCGGG